UGUUAGCAGGGAACACUGUGAUGGGA
This 26-nucleotide non-coding RNA is filed under the name Rattus norvegicus (Norway rat). Lineage: Eukaryota; Metazoa; Chordata; Mammalia; Rodentia; Muridae. The record is from RNAcentral.